GACGAACGCUGGCGGCGUGCUUAACACAUGCAAGUCGAACGGAAAGGCCUUGCUUGCUUGGUGCGCUCGAGUGGCGAACGGGUGUGUAACGCGUGUGUAACCUCCCCUUGUCUUUGGUAUAACUUCAGGAAACGGGGGCAUAUACCGGAUAGAUGUUUCUGCUGCAUGGUGGGGGUUGGAAAGUUUCGGCGGUUGGGGAUGGACUCGCGGCUUAUCAGCUUGUUGGUGGGGUAUUGGCUUACCAAGGCACUGACGGGUAGCCGGCCUGAGAGGGUGACCGGCCACAUUGGGACUGAGAUACGGCCCAGACUCCUACGGGAGGCAGCAGUGGGGAAUAUUGCACAAUGGGCGGAAGCCUGAUGCAGCAACGCCGCGUGCGGGAUGACGGCCUUCGGGUUGUAAACCGCUUUCGGCUGUGACGAAGCGUAAGUGACGGUAAUGGGUAAAGAAGCACCGGCUAACUACGUG
Molecule: ribosomal RNA, 468 nt
Filed under: uncultured bacterium
Lineage: Bacteria
Description: partial 16S ribosomal RNA
Rfam family: Bacterial small subunit ribosomal RNA
Source: RNAcentral